GUUUUCAGUGUAUCGAUUAUGAAGUCCCGCUGACCAAGAUAUGGAGUUAUCACUGAUAAAUUCAUAGUUUGGAUACUUGGAUUUGGCUUCUUGCAAUAAUGAAGGGUCAUCUGUAGCCAAAUAUACUCUCUUUUUAUCAACAUGCAUUCUACGAGCAAGAAGUUCAAACCGCUCUUCAACAUGCACCAUAUAUUCUUCAAUGGGAUGAAAUGCUGCCUCUGUUCCUACUUUGUCUGUCCUCCGAACAUGAACACCAAUCACAGGAUGCUUGAAACCAAGUUUCCUUGUGGCUUCCUCUAUUUCUUUUUCUAGCCAAGGCUGUGGACGAAUCAAGUAUUUGACAAACUGUGAGACCCACCAUACUGCAGGAUCCCCAUGUACACGAAUUAGCCUAUCAGCCAGGUCUUCGGGAACAGCCAAUGGUAAAUAAGGUGGCCGUGGAUGUAAACUGUCAACAAUAGGGAGCUCCACCACCUGUACAUCCUUAUCAUUAGUCUCACCUGACCAGUGUCCAGUGGUUGUACCAGAUCUGUCAGUACAGGUCUCGCUUACAGGUCUAAAUACAGUUUCCCAGC
RNAcentral lists this long non-coding RNA (575 nucleotides) under Gallus gallus (chicken). The record is from RNAcentral. Lineage: Eukaryota; Metazoa; Chordata; Aves; Galliformes; Phasianidae.